RNAcentral lists this ribosomal RNA (253 nucleotides) under uncultured bacterium. RNAcentral's name for it is "partial 16S ribosomal RNA". It matches the Rfam family "Bacterial small subunit ribosomal RNA", at positions 524 to 776 of the family's 1533-position model. The record is from RNAcentral.
UACGGAGGGUGCGAGCGUUAAUCGGAAUUACUGGGCGUAAAGCGCGCGUAGGCGGUUUGUUAAGUCAGCUGUGAAAGCCCCGGGCUCAACCUGGGAACUGCAGUUGAUACUGACCGACUGGAGUACGAGGGAGGGAGGUAGAAUUCCAUGUGUAGCGGUGAAAUGCGUAGAUAUAUGGAGGAAUACCAGUGGCGAAGGCGGCCUCCUGGCUCGAUACUGACGCUGAGGUGCGAAAGCGUGGGGAUCAAACAGG